RNAcentral lists this ribosomal RNA (262 nucleotides) under uncultured Oscillospiraceae bacterium. RNAcentral's name for it is "partial 16S ribosomal RNA". It matches the Rfam family "Bacterial small subunit ribosomal RNA", at positions 72 to 339 of the family's 1533-position model. The record is from RNAcentral. Lineage: Bacteria; Bacillati; Bacillota; Clostridia; Eubacteriales; Oscillospiraceae.
CUUGCUUUCUCGAGCGAGUGGCGAACGGGUGAGUAACGCGUGAGGAACCUGCCUCAAAGGGGGGGGACAACAGUUGGAAACGAUUGCUAAUACCGCAUGACGCAUAGAGGUCGCAUGAUCUUUAUGCCAAAGAUUCAUCGCUUCAAGAUGGCCUCGCGUCUGAUUAGCUGGUUGGCGGGGUAACGGCCCACCAAGGCGACGAUCAGUAGCCGGACUGAGAGGUUGAACGGCCACAUUGGGACUGAGAUACGGCCCAGACUCC